This 84-nucleotide transfer RNA is filed under the name Yimella lutea. Its description in RNAcentral is "tRNA-Ser". It matches the Rfam family "tRNA". From Rfam's summary of the family: Transfer RNA (tRNA) molecules are approximately 80 nucleotides in length. Their secondary structure includes four short double-helical elements and three loops (D, anti-codon, and T loops). Lineage: Bacteria; Bacillati; Actinomycetota; Actinomycetes; Micrococcales; Dermacoccaceae. The record is from RNAcentral.
GAGGAUCCAGCCGAUGUGGUGGCGGCACCCGUCUUGAAAACGGACUGCCCGAAAGGGCGUGCGAGUUCGACUCUCGCAUCCUCC